UGGACAGAUUAUUGUAUUCGACUGUAUUCACGGCGUGAGAAAGGGGAUUACACUAUUUUUAAACGGAAAGUGAAUCAAUUAACAUAAUAGACUCCU
This is a microRNA precursor of Nicotiana attenuata, 96 nucleotides long. It matches the Rfam family "MIR6152 microRNA precursor family". Lineage: Eukaryota; Viridiplantae; Streptophyta; Magnoliopsida; Solanales; Solanaceae. The record is from Rfam.